UCUCUCUCUCUUACAUCAUUAGUGGUCAGUGAACGUUUUGUGCUAACUUUGAUAGGAUCUCUGCCAGACACCGCAGCUCACCAGUCACCUCCACCACAAGUGUGGACCCCGCUACAGAGACCACCACCACUCAUAAGCUUGAUCUAACAGGUUGGGGGAGGGGGUGAGACAAGAACGAAGCAACGUCAGCAGUAGCUGGAACAGUAUUAAUCCAGACACCACGCUCGCUACAUCUCUCCAGCCACCACGCCACCACCGACCCUCGAGUGUACGCAGCCCAGUGUCCGUCUGUGUCUUGUCGUGGGCGUGACGUUCAGCAGCGGCAGGAACAGCAACGGGAAGCUUGAUCUACGUGGGUCUUCGUGCGGCGAGGUGACGUGCCGCUGCUGUGAGAUUAUCGGACCACACCACAGCACAGCACAGCACAGAGGAGGAGAGAAUAGGUACCAGAAUCGGCGAAAAGAAUGAGUGGACAAGAUUUCCUAACGUAACGAGGCUGGUGUUUCAAGGCGUUGACGAUCCAAAGGCCUGACUCCACAGCGGUAAUGAGCCUCGUCUACCUUGCACUUUGACGGAC
This is a long non-coding RNA of Portunus trituberculatus (swimming crab), 577 nucleotides long. RefSeq lists it as uncharacterized. The transcript is spliced from 4 exons. NCBI's taxonomy places the organism in Eukaryota, Metazoa, Arthropoda, Malacostraca, Decapoda, Portunidae. The record is from RefSeq and is a predicted model, not a curated record.